Molecule: long non-coding RNA, 4337 nt
Organism: Cygnus atratus (black swan)
Lineage: Eukaryota; Metazoa; Chordata; Aves; Anseriformes; Anatidae
Exons: 3
Source: RefSeq, a predicted model, not a curated record
ACAUUGCAAUAUUUCCUCUGCUGGGGCGGGCGGCGGCGGGGGAGGCGAGGCGAGGCGAGGCGAGGCGGCAGCUCCGCUCUGCUCCGCUCCGCGCCGGCACACAAUCUCAUGUUACACCGAACCUUGACACAAGGAAGCUACUUCAUUGGGCAUCAGCAUUGUACUGACAAUAAAAUUGUGUCUUCAGCAUGGCUCACCAGAAUCUGCAGGGUUCAUAAAACCUGAACUUUGACAUCUGAUAGGAUGGUCAAUAAAAACUUACCAGCAUUUUGUACAAGAUUUUAAGAUUUCAAAUGCUUUUUUUUUUUUUUUUUUUUUUUUGAGGAAGAGAUUCUAAUAAUUCAGAAAAUCACGAGUAAUCCUCCAGCACCACCACCCUUCCUGGUAUUCCUGUGCCACUGCUGCAGCCAGGGGGGAGACCCAGAGAGGGCAGUGGGAUCAAAGAGCAAUCAUCUGCCUUGCAGCAUCACCCUGACCACAUCCUGCAGCCUUUCAGGUGUGCUGGCAGAUGUGCUUGUUGAACCUGAGAUGCACCCUGGCUCCCCACAGACAGGACAGCAAACCCAGCCAGUGACCCAGCUCCUCGCCUGGACGAGCAGGAAGCUGUGCUGGCGUGAGCCAGAGGAGAAGCCAAACCUCCGUACGCCUCGCAGCCGAGGGGCCUGCAGCUUGCAAAGCCUCACUGCGAGGCCACACGUCCGCUCCACUUCAAGCCAGUUGCUCCUGGGCCACGGUCUGUGAGCUGGGCAACACAUUUCCCAGCACGUUCGUUGGACUGUGUUCACAAUUUGCCCAGUGUCCAAGUUCCACACACCCUGGAAGGCCCCUAGUGCUCACGAAGUGUUGUGGCGGAGGCUGCGGUGCAGGAGGCAGGCAAGGCCCAGCGCGGUUGUGCUCGGCAGCCCUCUGCAGGCACUGCGGGCGAGCGAAGCAGUGGAAGCUCAGGCACUCGUUUGCACUCACAAACAAAAGCCUAAGGCUUGGUACUCCUGCACAUCCCUCGCCUCUUUCAUGCGCCCUGCAGUCAUUGCCUCUUUCCUAAGUCCUGGUUAAAUUGGGCUUCUACUCUCUAAGGAAACAGCCAAUUUAGACAGGCAGUACAGAGCAGCUGUAUCUGCCAGUCUCGAUUUACAAUACCUCCCCUGGCAAAUCGUCAUAGUCUCAGCUACAAGUGUGAUUUAGCUGGCACACCACGAGCAGGGCAGCAGCAUUCCCACAGGCAGCAGGAGCCACUGAAGAGGAGUCAGAGUUGCCACCUACAGCACAAGCCAGGAGGCUUCCCUCACAACUCAUCUGCUGGAUGAAAGCAGCAGCAAUCUGUCCCGCUCCCUCCCUGAAAAGGCCUCACUUCACCCAGUGCUUGGUACAUCAAAGCACCCAAAGCAUCCACGAGCCCCCAGGAAAAGCAGCCCAAAUACAUCAGUGCAGACGCAAGUAUAAAGUCAGAGCAGAGUCCACAGCCACUGAUGCAGAUAAGAAUGAAAAGACAAAAAGAAAGGGAAAAAUAUGUAUUUUUUUAAAAAUCCUUUGCUGCUCUCAUGGUUGGUUCUUGGAGCAAUGGGCUGCAUGGACAGACUGCUUGUCACUGUCACCGUAGGACUGCAGGAGUCACCAGCAAGAGCUGAGGUCUGAGGCGCACCAAGCAGAAAAACCAUCAGAAGAGGUUCAGUUGCAAUCUCUAGAAAUCAGUACUUGGUUGCCAACUCUUCUGCUCUUCAAGGGAAAAGCCACAUUCUGGAGGGAUAAUGCCCUGCCUCAUCCCCAGGUCACCCUCAGGGGCAGCAGAAGCUCCUCAGGGCCAGCAGCGACCUCGUUCGCCCAGCUGCAGCUCUGCCCAGCACAUGAAGGCUGCAGGGCCAGGCUGCGGCUUCCAGAAGUGCUUUGUGAAAGUGAUUUUGGCCAGGGUUACUCGAGUAACAUGGCCACUGAGGAGCCUCAUGCAAAAUGUUUUUAUAAACAUUUAAACCAUUUGUAAACAAGAUUUCAUAACUUGGCAGUCGGACUCGUAUUUUGUUAUUUUCACCCAAAGCACGCUGCUGUGCUGAGAGCUGCCUUCUGCCUCCAUCCAUUACGAUAUCAGAGUCCAAGGGGGAAGUUGCAACGAAGACUUGAAGCUCCUCCUGCAUUUUAUUUUGGAAUUUCUUACUUGUACUUACAAGGGUCACUUGAGGCUGUUUCAUCCGGAAAGGUGGAUGUAUCCUGGUCAGGAGGCACACCACAGGGCACUACACUUUGUCACAAGUGCUGUAACUGCACCACUAUGAAACAAGCUGAGAGGCAACAGGAAUCUGCAGCACUCCUGCUCCUCUGUAGCACCUAUCCCAACUUUUACUUUAUAUUUUCAGGGUCCCAUCAUGUUUUUUUUUUUUUUCUUUAUAUUGUCAAACUCAUCCCCUCAUGUUUUUUGUUUAUAUUGUCAAAUUCAUCUGCGUAACUAUGUGAGGACAGAUGUGACUACAACCAGAAACCAGGCCCACCCUUCAUCACAAAGCACACCUAGGCCUAAACACCAAACCAACAACUCAUUACAACCCCACAAAACAUUCAGAACUGCACCUUCUCCUGCCAGGACAACCAAAUCCCUCCUGGCACUGACAUCCCUCACUUGCAUAUUAAAUACAGACACAGAUCAGCUCUUACCUGCUGCUUGGCCACAAGAAGCACCAUGCUCACACCCUACCAACCCCAGCACACAGCCUGGUCCCUGAAGGAAGGAGGCCAUCCAUGCCUGGUGAUUGCAGACCAGGCUCACCUGGGGGCACCCAGCCCAUGCUUCUCCUCUCAUAGGCCUGCCACUGGGAUAAUGAGGUCUGCCUAAUUGCUUGUUACACUGCCCUUCCUUUUGCCUCGUCUCUAGGCUGCAGGUGGGCUGAGAGAAAGGGAUGUCCUAUGGCACAAGGUAAGGCUGUGCUACAAAAGCUCUCCUUGCCUCCUGCCUGACUUCCCUUCGGGCUGCUGUGCCUUUUGCACUUAGCUGUGUACUGCUGCAUUGAUCCGAUCCAGCUUUAGCCCCACAGCUCACCUCCUGUAAGGAGGCAAAAAUGGGUCACGACAAGGCCUCCAGGGCCUGUGGAGAGCCUGGAAGGAGCGGAGCAAAGCUUGCUGCAAAUGCAGGAGGGCAGGGGCUGUCUAUUAUUCUACUUGUAGUAGUCACAGCUAUAGGUGAAGAAUACCACCAAAAUGGCUGUGAGGGUUGAGCUGGCCCUUCUCAACACCCCACCAGCCAGCUCACCCACCGGCUGGCUGUUCCCACCAGAAGGCCCUGAGUCUGCCUGGUGGCCGCAGUCCAAGGCCUGUUCGCAGCACUUCAGCCAUGACACAGCCACCUCCUGCCACAGCACGGCCACGAGCAGAGGAAAUGAGAUGGUUCUGGCUCUUCCCCAGCACACUGCUCGCCCACCAGUACUCCAUCAGGUCACUUCAGCUCACAUCUCUCUGACUGCCCUUCUGUAACCCAACGCUGGGCUCUCCCUGCACCCACGGGACCAGCCCCCCUCCUUGUGCUUGGGCAAUGGGAGCUGUGAGAUGGGCUCCAUAUCUGGAGCCAGGGCACAGAGCUGGCCUCAGAGCCACGUCUGGUCGGCACAGCACAGUCCCCAGCACCCUGCUGCAGGACCCUGGUGGCUGAUAGCCCCAUGUGGCUCUCGCCUUGGAGAUGGGUAGUGAUGUCCUGGCUGCAUGUAAGCUGGGAGGUCUGGCAGCCAUCAUCUUUGUUCCUAUCAGUUUUCACUUGAGAAAUGAAAAGGCUCACUUCUCGUACACCACAUUGGCCUAUAUAAAUAAUAAUGAACUCUCCAGUCUUGGGCACCUGUUCCAGAUGCUGCAUCCACAGAGUGCAAAGACUUGCUGCGUGGCAAGGAGCUGACUUUUGCCUUCGCAGUCAGUGCCCAAGACAUUUUUCUGGGUCAUUAACAGUAAACCUUAUGGCAGUGCAUAAGCCUGCGUUUGGUGUGGCCACCCUUUGCCACCGCCCAGCAGGUGUGCUGCAGCCCCAGUGCUGCAUGGUCCCCGUACGACUGGCAGCAGAGGACUGCAGAGAGAAGAGAGGACCACCAGCGAAACAUAGUGCAGCUGCCUCCAUGUCUCCAUGCUCGGGGCAGAGCUGCUGCGAGCCCCAAGUCCAGCGUUGUUUCAGAAGAUACAGGCAACCUGUCUACACAUGGCAAUAGAUUAUUAAAAAAUGUUCACUGUUUCAAUUAACACAUCAAAAAAGUUCAUGUGACAGUGAAUAUCAACAUGAUGUAUGUGCAGAUGUAUAAACCCAUGUAUGAAAGACAUUUGUCAGGAAGCGUGAGAUGUAAAUCUUUGGAAAAGGAUUAAAUUAAUUUUAAAUGCAC